ACCCCACCUGAUAUGAUGGAAGUUGUCGAACCAGAUCAGAAGGCCUUUGAGUACCACCUUCAAGCACAGACUGAGAAGGAUGGAGGUUUUUGACCGGGUGAGCCUGAACAUCGAUAAGGCGCAGGAGGAGAGCUACCGGAGCAGAAUCAAGAAGGUGACCAGGUGCUAUGACAUCCGGGCGAAUUACUUGGUUUGGAAGAAGGACAAAAGGUGAGACCUGGGAAACCUCGCUGUUCUUUCGCUCCCAGCUGAGGUCACCAUCUGUUGAGGGUUACCUCGGUGGAAGCCAGCAAUCUUCUCCAGUUGGACGGUCAACCACUGAUGCCCUACACGUCGAUGAAGCCCAAUAGAUAAAGACCAUCGACUGUCCGAGCCCCCCAGGAGGUGUCCCAUCCACCAGAGCCAGUGAGUUUGGAUAAGAUUGAUUCUGUGCGCUCUGAGUCAGAGGGGGACCAGCUUGAGAUCCUAGGGGGUUCUGCAACACCCAGACGUGGAGCCACCUGAUGUCCUCCAUUACAUCAUCUGCAGCUACUGUUGUCAUGUCAUUAUCUGCUAAGAAUGUUCUUGCUAUCAUACUGGGCACAAUGAGAGAUACACAGAUUAACUUAAAACACUACCAACACUCAGAACAAAGAGAGGUUCUGCUUGGACUUUGCAGUCUCCCUAUUCAAGUCCACCUUCCGAGAAUGGUCUGUUGAGAACAAGCAAUAGACAGAACCUCCCAACCACCCUCCAUAUUCCAUACACCAGAAUUCAUUGUUUGUCUGCCAUGUGUGUACAAUUUUUUUGAAAUUUAAACUACAUGUGAAAAUAAAUUGCCUCAACUGCACCAAAAAACAAAACUGUUUUAAAAGGUGUAAGGUAUCCUUUGAUGGCAUUUAUUCAAUGUAUCCUAGGACCUACCAUGGAUACCUAAAUAUUCAACCACAAGGUUGUACUAAUGAGCUAUGCGAGGAAAAAAAACAAAAACAGGACUACUCAAAUUUCAGUGUAGAUAAAGAGAAAAGCAGGUUAAAAUAUAAACAUGACAGCCAGACAACCCAGUGUAU
Molecule: long non-coding RNA, 1049 nt
Organism: Oncorhynchus kisutch (coho salmon)
Lineage: Eukaryota; Metazoa; Chordata; Actinopteri; Salmoniformes; Salmonidae
Exons: 5
Source: RefSeq, a predicted model, not a curated record